GUGUUCACUUCAGCAGCACAUAUACUAAAAUGGGAAUGAUACAGAGAUUAGCAUGGCCCUUGCGCAAGGAUGACACGCAAAUUUGUGAAAUGUUCCAUAUUUAA
Molecule: small nuclear RNA, 104 nt
Organism: Suncus etruscus (white-toothed pygmy shrew)
Lineage: Eukaryota; Metazoa; Chordata; Mammalia; Eulipotyphla; Soricidae
Source: RefSeq, a predicted model, not a curated record